AGAGUUUGAUUAUGGCUCAGGACGAACGCUGGCGGCGUGCCUAACACAUGCAAGUCGAGCGGGGACAUGCGACGGAGUCGAAGUUUCGGAUGGAGACAAAGAUGUAUUGUCUAGCGGCGGACGGGUGAGUAACGCGUGAGCAACCUGUCCCUUACAGGGGGAUAACACAGCGAAAGUUGUACUAAUACCGCAUAAGACCACAGAGUGACAUCGCUCAGGGGUCAAAGGAGUAAUCCGGUAAGGGGUGGGCUCGCGUCCGAUUAGAUAGUUGGUGAGGUAACGGCCCACCAAGUCGACGAUCGGUAGCCGACCUGAGAGGGUGAUCGGCCACAUUGGGACUGAGACACGGCCCAAACUCCUACGGGAGGCAGCAGUGGGGAAUAUUGGGCAAUGGGGGGAAACCCUGACCCAGCAACGCCGCGUGAGGGAAGAAGGUUUUCGGAUCGUAAACCUCUGUCCUUGGUGAAGAGGAAGAGACGGUAGCCAAGGAGGAAGCCCCGGCUAACUACGUGCCAGCCGCCGC
This 523-nucleotide ribosomal RNA is filed under the name uncultured bacterium. RNAcentral describes it as "bacterial SSU rRNA". It matches the Rfam family "Bacterial small subunit ribosomal RNA", at positions 8 to 518 of the family's 1533-position model. The record is from RNAcentral.